CACGUUACAAACACGUCUAAUGGGUAUUGUUUUAGAAGGCUGGAGAUACAGAAGAAGGUAACUCUACACCGCUUGCUGAGUAGUGUUAGACAUGCUCUUAUUGUCGCUGUGAGUGACAGGGUGUCCGGACACGACAAUGCCCGUCCUGUUCUCUAUUGAUGACAAAAGACGCGUGGACCAAUCAGCGGCGCAGCCCGACCAUUCCCAGUCUUUGUAAAUACAAAACACACAUCCCGUUUCAUUAGCCCGCGUCCAGUCCAGCCGAGUCGGUGCGUACCGUACGGUGCAUGUGUGCGUGAGUGUGUCGUGCUUACUCGGUGUCUGUUCAACUUGAGGAAGACAUGGCAAACGCGGUGGAGAACGUUAAUCCGAACGUGAACCAGGGAGUGGAUAUGGGAGCGGGGACUCCCGGGGUCCAGACGAGCCAGACUAUCAACGGGGGCGACACCGCCUCGACCCUGACGUUUUCUCCCGAGCAAGUCGCCUGCGUCUGCGAGGCUCUGCAGCAAGGAGGGGACAUCGAGAGAUUAGCGCGAUUUCUCUGGUCCCUGCCGCCCAACGAGUUGCUGAGAGGCAGCGAGAGCGUGCUGAAGGCUCGGGCCAUCGUGGCUUUCCACGGGGCAGUUUUAAAGAACUCUACGCCAUUCUGGAGAGCCACAACUUCGACACGUCCAACCACCAAAUGCUGCAAGACAUGUGGUACAAGGCUCACUACAUCGAAGCACAGAAAAUCCGCGGCCGUCCGCUCGGAGCUGUGGACAAGUACAGGCUGAGGAGAAAAUUCCCGCUCCCUCGGACCAUCUGGGACGGCGAGGAGACGGUCUACUGCUUCAAGGAGAAGGCAAGACAAGCCCUGAAGGAGAUGUACAACAACAACCGGUACCCGACUCCGGACGAGAAGCGAAACUUAGCCAAGAAGACGGGCCUCACGCUCACACAAGUCAGCAACUGGUUCAAGAACAGACGACAGAGAGACAGGACUCCGUCCUUACACAAGGGGGACGACAGACACAGUGGACUGGACAGCGGUGACGAAGACUUGAAGGGUCAUCUGAACGGCGACCUCUCACACGACCUGUCCCAACUGACCGCACGAGUGGACAAGAUGGACAGCAGCAUAGCGACCACGCCGGUGCAUGCGCAGCAGCAGCAGGCGCAACUCCAGCACCAUCACAGCGCGCAUGCGCACCACAUGGUGGGCUUGGACUUCCCCGGUGACGUCGAGACCAAGUCGUGCGUUCCGACGCCUCACGAACUUCUGGGAUCGUGCUCGGCCGUGGAAACAUCCGUACUCUGCACGCCAGUCAGCACGAUCGUCAAAGGCGAGCCUAGUCAGUAAAAAAGAAACAAACAAAACAAGAUCAAAUCUCUCCAUUCCUAAGACUUUCACUCUCCAAAAAUAUACUUCAUACACUCCAUAUUUUCUUUUCAUAACUUUCGAUUUGACAUCAUGUCACUAGUCAUUCCGAAUGUUUUGUUUGAUUCUUUUUCUAUACCUUGGCAGCAUUCCUUCCCCGGCUGUCUAGUAUCUUCUUUUCUUCCCCAAACAUUGUACAUACCAUGUGGUUAGGGCGUGUUUUAUCCCUUAUGAAGUGGUGCCAAAUGCUUCUUCAUGUAAGAGAUGUAAAAUGUUGUGCGUGUGCACGUGUUGUUUUGAGACCAGCAAUGCGCAUGUGUAGUAGAUCCAAAAUGGAUGCUUUCAAUUCAGAACCCCCCUUUACAUAUAUAGCAGUUUUGCUUUGUAUAUUCUAUAUGUAAUAGGAAAACUUGAUAUUAUAUGUGCAGUCUUAAACGUAACGUAUUUUUGUUGGAUGAUAUUACGGAACCACGAUGUCUCCCUAGAUAUAUACUUUCUAUGAAGGUUGUUUCCAACACUAGGGGGAAAAAGUUGUCUUUUUUGUAACACAGGGUUUCGUCUCACUGUUGUUUUUGUGGAGUUAGAACACACACGAAGAGUUUUGACACCCGUACUCGAACUUUUUCCGUUAUUUUGCCGUUCCUUGCCGUGUUUGACAUGUAAUUAUCUUCAGUUUUCCGACAACAUCAAACUUUGGCCCCUUGUGGAAAAAAAUAGGCCAUCAGCCAAGGGCAAACAUCGUCGCCUUAUAUGGAAGUCUCCUAGACCUGUCAUGUCGAAUGUAGUCGAAAAUUCGUCGCCGCGCAUACAUCUUUGUGACAACCCCUUACGAAUCGUGUUCAAGUAUGCUCUUAGUAUUUCCUUGUUCAGAUUUGCCGAACUGUUAUUAUUGAUGUAAUAUUUGUAUACCAAAGAAUCGUGAAGUAAAACUUCAUUCUGCA
Molecule: RNA transcript, 2298 nt
Organism: Branchiostoma belcheri (Belcher's lancelet)
Lineage: Eukaryota; Metazoa; Chordata; Leptocardii; Amphioxiformes; Branchiostomatidae
Gene name: homeobox protein six1a-like
Exons: 2
Source: RefSeq, a predicted model, not a curated record